UCUAAAUCCUAAAUCAAAUUCUAGACAAACCCUACACUCUAAACAAAUCUUAAAUCCUAGAACAAAUCUUAUAUAAAUUCUAAAUACUAAACUAAAUUCUAAAUAAAUCUUAAGUCUUAAAUCCGAAACCAAAUCUUAGAUAAAUGCUAAAUCUUAAAUAAAUACUAAAUCUUAAAUCAAAUCUUAGACAAAUACCAAGUCCUAAAUCAAUCCUAAAUCCUAAACAAAAAUCUAAUCAACUCAAAUUAAUCCUAAGGUAGAUUAGAAUCCCAAUAUCUAUUGAUUAAACUAUUGAUCUUACUUAAAAAUUUAUACACCUCUCAAUCUCUUAAUUAAAAAUAAGUAUAAAAAAUUUGAAGAUAAUUGCACUUAUAAAAUGGAAGAAAAAUUCUAAAAUUUGCCCAAGUGUUGGCUAACCUCCUACUCCAAUCUAAAUUUUAAACUUCCAGCAUCAAUAUCUUCUUUUGGAAUCGUUGAAUUUCUUCUAAAAUUUACUUAAGUCAUUGAAAACCAAGUCUAGUCUACGUACAAAAAAUAAUCACUUCAAUCCAAUU
This 554-nucleotide long non-coding RNA is filed under the name Physcomitrium patens. RNAcentral's name for it is "long non-coding RNA (PPAT_LNC010020)". Lineage: Eukaryota; Viridiplantae; Streptophyta; Bryopsida; Funariales; Funariaceae. The record is from RNAcentral.